Molecule: unclassified non-coding RNA, 329 nt
Filed under: soil metagenome
Description: partial contains 5.8S ribosomal RNA, internal transcribed spacer 2, and large subunit ribosomal RNA
Rfam family: 5.8S ribosomal RNA (bases 1-120)
Source: RNAcentral
GAUGAAGAACGCAGCGAAAUGCGAUAAGUAAUGUGAAUUGCAGAAUUCAGUGAAUCAUCAAAUCUUUGAACGCACAUUGCGCCCCCUGGUAUUCCGGGGGGCAUGCCUGUCCGAGCGUCAUUACAACCCUCAAGCUCAGCUUGGUGUUGGGCCCCGCCGCCCCGGCGGGCCCUAAAGUCAGUGGCGGUGCCGUCCGGCUCCGAGCGUAGUAAUUCUUCUCGCUCUGGAGGUCCGGUCGUGUGCUCGCCAGCAACCCCCAAUUUUUUUCAGGUUGACCUCGGAUCAGGUAGGGAUACCCGCUGAACUUAAGCAUAUCAAUAAGCGGAGGA